Non-coding RNA from Urocitellus parryii (Arctic ground squirrel), 262 nucleotides. The record is from RefSeq and is a predicted model, not a curated record. NCBI's taxonomy places the organism in Eukaryota, Metazoa, Chordata, Mammalia, Rodentia, Sciuridae.
UAAAUGUGCACAGAUAGAAGCCAAAUUCUAUGAGGAAGUUCAUGAUCUUGAAAGGAAGUAUGCUGUUCUCUAUCAGCCUCUAUUUGAUAAGCGAUUUGAGAUCAUUAAUGCAAUUUAUGAACCUACAGAAGAAGAAUGUGAAUGGAAACCAGAUGAAGAAGAGGAAAUUUCGGAGGAGCUGAAAGAAAAGGCCAAGAUAGAAGAUGAGAAAAAAGAUGAAGAAAAAGAAGACCCUAAAGGAAUUCCUGAAUUUUGGUUGACU